Molecule: ribosomal RNA, 305 nt
Filed under: Blastocystis sp.
Lineage: Eukaryota; Bigyra; Opalinata; Blastocystidae
Description: SSU rRNA
Rfam family: Eukaryotic small subunit ribosomal RNA
Source: RNAcentral
CAUCGCUCGUCUCAAAGAUUAAGCCAUGCAUGUGUAAGUGUAAAUGUAAUAGUUUGGAACUGCGAAUGGCUCAUUAUAUCAGUUAUAGUUUAUUUGGUGAAGUGUACUACUUGGAUAACCGUAGUAAUUCUAGGGCUAAUACAUGAGAAAGUCCUCUGGUGAGGUGUGUUUAUUAGAAUGAAAACCAUAUGCUUCGGCAGUAUAGUGAGUAAUAGUAACCUAUCGUAUCGCAUGCUUAAUGUAGCGAUGAGUCUUUCAAGUUUCUGCCCUAUCAGCUUUCGAUGGUAGUAUAUGGGCCUACCAUG